Non-coding RNA from Camellia sinensis, 1417 nucleotides. NCBI's taxonomy places the organism in Eukaryota, Viridiplantae, Streptophyta, Magnoliopsida, Ericales, Theaceae. The record is from RefSeq and is a predicted model, not a curated record.
UUGCCCACGGUUCUCUCUCUCUCUCUCUCACACCGAGAGAAUCAAUCACCACCGCCCCCUCAUCUCAGCAUCGCACAUGACCACACUGUCUGUCAAUCUGCCACCGUCGAACAUCGCCACUGCAGCUCACCAUUGCCUCGCCUCCCAUCGACAUUCAGAUGAAGAAUGGGAAGGAGUUUCUUCUUACAGAUACUACUGGAUUUAUUCAGAAAUUACCAACUACACUGGUUACUACCUUUAGGGCAACCUUGGAGGAAAUUUCUGAGUCAUCCCUUCUGGUGCAUGUGGUGGAUAUUAGGUAUAACUUGGUGAAUUAGUGAAGAGGAUUUAUCUCUGCUUGACAAACACUAUUUUCUCAAAACGUAUUGUUAUCAAGUUCAGCCAUCCACUGGCAGAGCAACAGAUUGAUGUUGUGGACAAGGUUCUAAGUGAACUGGAUGUGGCAUCAAUUCCAAAGUUGAUGGUGUGGAACAAGGGCAGAGAAGAAGAUAAUGAAGCACGGAGAGAGAGGGUUUAUCAAUUCUUCAACUAUUUAUUUACAAUGGUUCUUGUAUUGCAGUCUUGGAGGUCAUAGUGGUUAUUAUGCUUAGUAGAAUCAAUGUUGAGUUGAGAAAUGAAAAUGUUGAUGCCAAUCUAUUGUUUUCCUAUAGAGAAUGGAUCCAACCCCACAAUGGCAGUUGCAGCAACUGCUGCGGGUGAUCAACAAUUGCAACAGACUGUAAAUGUAUCUCAUAAAUAGAAAGAGAAAGAGAAAGAGAAAAAGAAACAUCAAUAGCAAGUAACGACAAUGGUAAUGACAUUGGCAAUGGAAGUGGCAAAGAAAGUCCCCAUUUUCAUGAAGAAAGUGAUUCCAGAAAGAUCUAAAUCAGCACAGCAACAGAGGUUAGUUGCUGCUUCUCAGCUUGUGGCUUCUACUUCCCUCCUUUACUCUGCUGUAGCUGCAAACAAAUGCAUGAAUCUCCUCCUCCAACAACAGCAAAGUGAUACCCAAAGGUACAUAUAUACAUCAUAUAUUCUUUCAUAAUUUAACUCAUAUGUUACUCUCUUGUGAAGUGAUCACUUGUACUUACACUUGGUUUGCUCUACAUGUUGAAGGGUCGGGCUGCCACGACGUUGAUGAUGGGUGAGGAUAUGCACAAAUUCAGUCUAUCCUGGCUUGAUAGGAACGAGUUUCCGAUGAACAGUGGGCUGGAAAUGGUGAACCCUGGUUCAAGACAGAUCUACUUGACUUUUCCAGCUGAUAGCACAUUUAGAGAAGAGGAUGUUUCCAAUUAUUCCAGUAUUUAUGGACCAAUUCAAGAUGUGAGGAUUCUAUAUCAACAAAAGAGAAUGUUUGGGUUUGUUACCUUUGUCUACCCAGAAACUGUUAAGCUCAUUCUUGCUAAAGGGAACCCUCAUUUUGUAUGUGUGAUGCUCA